This 254-nucleotide ribosomal RNA is filed under the name uncultured bacterium. RNAcentral's name for it is "partial 16S ribosomal RNA". It matches the Rfam family "Bacterial small subunit ribosomal RNA", at positions 524 to 776 of the family's 1533-position model. The record is from RNAcentral.
UACGGGGGGGGCAAGCGUUGUUCGGAAUUACUGGGCGUAAAGGGCUCGCAGGCGGCCAACUAAGACAGACGUGAAAUCCCUCGGCUUAACCGGGGAACUGCGUCUGAUACUGGAUGGCUUGAGUUUGGGAGAGGGAUGCGGAAUUCCAGGUGUAGCGGUGAAAUGCGUAGAUAUCUGGAGGAACACCGGUGGCGAAGGCGGCAUCCUGGACCAACACUGACGCUGAGUGAGCGAAAGCCAGGGGAGCAAACGGG